GAAAGGAUUUAUUCGGUAAAAGAUGGGCCCGCAUCUGAUUAGCUAGUUGGUGAGAUAAUAGCCCACCAAGGCAACGAUCAGUAGCCGACCUGAGAGGGUGACCGGCCACAUUGGGACUGAGACACGGCCCAAACUCCUACGGGAGGCAGCAGUGGGGAAUAUUGCACAAUGGGGGAAACCCUGAUGCAGCAACGCCGCGUGAAGGAAGACGGUUUUCGGAUUGUAAACUUCUAUCAAUAGGGAAGAAAGAAAUGACGGUACCUAAAUAAGAAGCCCCGGCUAACUACGUGCCAGCAGCCGCGGUAAUACGUAGGGGGCAAGCGUUAUCCGGAAUUACUGGGUGUAAAGGGAGAGUAGGCGGCAAGGUAAGCGAUAUGUGAAAGCCUUAGGCUUAACCUGAGGAUAGCAUAACGAACUAUCUAGCUAGAGUACAGGAGAGGAAAGCGGAAUUCUUAGUGUAGCGGUGAAAUGCGUAGAUAUUAGGAAGAACACCAGUGGCGAAGGCGGCUUUCUGGACUGAAACUGACGCUGAGGCUCGAAAGCGUGGGGAGCGAACAGGAUUAGAUACCCUGGUAGUCCACGCUGUAAACGAUGAGUGCUAGGUGUCGGGGAGGAAUCCUCG
Molecule: ribosomal RNA, 622 nt
Filed under: uncultured bacterium
Lineage: Bacteria
Description: bacterial SSU rRNA
Rfam family: Bacterial small subunit ribosomal RNA
Source: RNAcentral